Molecule: long non-coding RNA, 871 nt
Organism: Magnolia sinica
Lineage: Eukaryota; Viridiplantae; Streptophyta; Magnoliopsida; Magnoliales; Magnoliaceae
Exons: 2
Source: RefSeq, a predicted model, not a curated record
AUUAUCUAUUUCUUGUAUCAAUUCAAAGAUAAUUUUUACUUUUCUUAUGCCUGUCAGUGACAUAUGAUACGUGGUGGUGGUUAUAUCACAAACUAGCUCAUCAAUCAUCCAUGAUAUUGUAUACAUUUCCUUCAUUCUACUCAUUGUUGGUACUUUGGCUAAUAGGUAAAAGUCAUUUGCUUCUCAAAGACUGGGGAACGUGCCUCUCCGUUCUUGCGGCAAGCUACUAAGGACUAUUGAGCAUAUGCCUCUUUUGCAUUCGUGCUAUGGCGAGAAGAGGAAUCGUCUAUAUGGUGGAACUUGUGUGACAUACUUUGCUGAUCUUCUGUUCUGAAGAAAGUGAGGUUGGUUCACUCAUCAGAUGUGGCUAGCAUACAAAACUAAUGUGUAGCUAGAGAAGAAAAAAAAAAGAUUUUUUUUCUUAGCAAUCCACUAUUUUGUACACUAUGAACCACCUUUUCUGUGCUGUUUUCUUGCUCAUCUAUGAAAAAUGAAAUAAAUCAUUGAGUUUCCUUAUUCAGAUACACUUUAGAAGCCCUGGCAUGCCGUUGUUGCCCAUGGCAAAAGAUGGUACUGAGGCUCUUGGCUCAAUGUGAAAUGAUGCUCCUUUAGCUGUGAUGUCCAACAAAGAGAAACUUACAUUUGAGUAUUUCAAGCAGAAGUUUGCUCAGUUACAAACCCACCGAUUGAUCCGAUCUGAGAGAAGAUAGUCACUUGGAAGGGGACCUUACUGAAAUAGUUCAUGUGGAAGGCUAUGUGGCAGUUUGUUUGUUUUGAAAACUUUAAAUAGACCAUUAAUUGUUUUGUUGGUAUUGUGCUAAUUGUUGUCUUAAUGGAUGUUAAAUGGGUGAAACAUGCACAGGUUCAAUCA